RNAcentral lists this ribosomal RNA (605 nucleotides) under uncultured bacterium. RNAcentral describes it as "bacterial SSU rRNA". It matches the Rfam family "Bacterial small subunit ribosomal RNA", at positions 72 to 677 of the family's 1533-position model. The record is from RNAcentral.
UUUCUAGCUUGCUAGAAGAUGACGAGUGGCGGACGGGUGAGUAAUACUUAGGAAUAUGCCUUUGUGUGGGGGAUAACUAUUGGAAACGAUAGCUAAUACCGCAUAACGUCUUCGGACCAAAGGGGGCUUCGGCUCCCGCGCAAAGAGUAGCCUAAGCGAGAUUAGCUUGUUGGUGAGGUAAAGGCUCACCAAGGCGACGAUCUCUAGCUGUUCUGAGAGGAAGAUCAGCCACACUGGAACUGAGACACGGUCCAGACUCCUACGGGAGGCAGCAGUGGGGAAUAUUGCACAAUGGGGGAAACCCUGAUGCAGCCAUGCCGCGUGUGUGAAGAAGGCCUUCGGGUUGUAAAGCACUUUCAGUUGUGAGGAAAGGUUAGUGGUUAAUACCCAUUAGCUGUGACGUUAGCAACAGAAGAAGGACCGGCUAACUCCGUGCCAGCAGCCGCGGUAAUACGGAGGGUCCGAGCGUUAAUCGGAAUUACUGGGCGUAAAGCGCACGCAGGCGGUUUGUUAAGCUAGAUGUGAAAGCCCUGGGCUCAACCUGGGAAUUGCAUUUAGAACUGGCAGGCUAGAGUUUUGGAGAGGGGAGUGGAAUUCCAGGUGUA